Molecule: unclassified non-coding RNA, 180 nt
Filed under: uncultured Agaricomycetes
Lineage: Eukaryota; Fungi; Basidiomycota; Agaricomycetes
Description: sequence contains ITS2
Source: RNAcentral
UAACUCUCAGCCCCUUGGGGUUGGACUUUGGACGUUGCGGGAGGCCCUUCCGCUCGUCUCAAAAGCAUUAGCGGGGGUUCGGGCACCGACCCAUUGCUGGCGUUUAGUAAUGCUUGCGCCGCGCGGGGCUUUCACCGCCUUUUCCCGCUGACCAGCGGACGCCACGGCGUCGAACUUGAC